CCUACGGGGGGCAGCAGUGGGGAAUCUUGCGCAAUGGGCGGAAGCCUGACGCAGCGACGCCGCGUGCGGGACGAAGGCCUUCGGGUCGUAAACCGCUUUCAGCAGGGACGAGGCCCUCACGGUGACGGUACCUGCAGAAGAAGCCCCGGCUAACUACGUGCCAGCAGCCGCGGUAAUACGUAGGGGGCGAGCGUUAUCCGGAUUCAUUGGGCGUAAAGCGCGCGUAGGCGGCCUGUUAGGUCGGGGGUCAAAUACCGGGGCUCAACCCCGGUCCGCCCCCGAUACCGGCAGGCUUGAGUCUGGUG
RNAcentral lists this ribosomal RNA (305 nucleotides) under uncultured bacterium. RNAcentral describes it as "bacterial SSU rRNA". It matches the Rfam family "Bacterial small subunit ribosomal RNA", at positions 338 to 653 of the family's 1533-position model. The record is from RNAcentral.